Molecule: ribosomal RNA, 468 nt
Filed under: uncultured bacterium
Lineage: Bacteria
Description: partial 16S ribosomal RNA
Rfam family: Bacterial small subunit ribosomal RNA
Source: RNAcentral
GACGAACGCUGGCGGCGUGCUUAACACAUGCAAGUCGAACGGAAAGGCCCUGCUUUUGUGGUGUGCUCGAGUGGCGAACGGGUGAGUAACACGUGUGUAACCUGCCCUUGACUUUGGGAUAACUUCAGGAAACUGGGGCUAUUACCGGAUAGGAGCUCCUGCUGCAUGGUGGGGGUUGGAAAGUUUCGGCGGUUGGGGAUGGACUCGCUGCUUAUGAGCUUGUUUGUGGGGUAGUGGCUUACCAAGGCUUUGACGGGUAGCCGGCCUGAGAGGGGGACGGGCGACAUUGGGACUGAGAUACGGCCCAGAAGCGUACGGGAGGCAACAGGGGGGAAUAUUGCAGAAUAGGCGGAAGCGUGAUGCAACAACGCCGCGUGCGGGAUGACGGCCUUCGGGGUGUAAACAGCUGUCGACUGUGACGAAGAGUGAGUGACGGUAAUGGGUAAAGAAGCACCGGCUAACUACGUG